GAUCCUGGCUCAGGAUGAACGCUAGCUACAGGCUUAACACAUGCAAGUCGAGGGGCAGCAUGAACUUAGCUUGCUAAGUUUGAUGGCGACCGGCGCACGGGUGAGUAACACGUAUCCAACCUGCCGAUGACUCGGGGAUAGCCUUUCGAAAGAAAGAUUAGUACCCGAUGGCAUAGUUCUUCCGCAUGGUAGAACUACUAAAGAAUUUCGGUCAUUGAUGGGGAUGCGUUCCAUUAGGUUG
Molecule: ribosomal RNA, 241 nt
Filed under: uncultured bacterium
Lineage: Bacteria
Description: partial 16S ribosomal RNA
Rfam family: Bacterial small subunit ribosomal RNA
Source: RNAcentral